GAUCCUGGCUCAGGAUGAACGCUAGCGACAGGCUUAACACAUGCAAGUCGAGGGGCAUCAUGAGGUAGCAAUACCUUGAUGGCGACCGGCGCACGGGUGAGUAACGCGUAUGCGACCUGCCUGAUACCGGGGUAUAGCCCAUGGAAACGUGGAUUAACACCCCAUAGUACUUUUAUCCUGCAUGGGAUGUGAGUUAAAUGUUCAAGGUAUCGGAUGGGCAUGCGUCAUUAG
This 231-nucleotide ribosomal RNA is filed under the name uncultured bacterium. Its description in RNAcentral is "partial 16S ribosomal RNA". It matches the Rfam family "Bacterial small subunit ribosomal RNA", at positions 15 to 244 of the family's 1533-position model. The record is from RNAcentral.